GCCGGAGUGGCGGAACGGUAGACGCCGCGGACUUAAACUCCGCUGGGCCUCACGGCCCGUGUGGGUUCGACUCCCACCUCCGGUACCA
RNAcentral lists this transfer RNA (88 nucleotides) under Actinomycetota bacterium. Its description in RNAcentral is "Actinobacteria bacterium tRNA-Leu". It matches the Rfam family "tRNA". Rfam says of the family: Transfer RNA (tRNA) molecules are approximately 80 nucleotides in length. Their secondary structure includes four short double-helical elements and three loops (D, anti-codon, and T loops). Lineage: Bacteria; Bacillati; Actinomycetota. The record is from RNAcentral.